Molecule: long non-coding RNA, 2171 nt
Organism: Ictidomys tridecemlineatus (thirteen-lined ground squirrel)
Lineage: Eukaryota; Metazoa; Chordata; Mammalia; Rodentia; Sciuridae
Source: RefSeq, a predicted model, not a curated record
GACACCUCGAGCCUGUCCCGGCCCCAACUCGUAUUCUUUCCGGGGCGGGGACAGAAAACUGAUGAAAAGGACCGUAGAAGUCACUGCUCCCUAGCAGCCAGGCGCCGGGCCAAGAGUUGGAGAAGGGGCACCCAGAGAGGCCCCCGUGACUCCCUGCUCAGAGGUGCCCCCUCCUCCGGGCACUGUGACAUCACCCUGUUUUGUCCUCACAGGCUUGUCUUGUGGGCAGUGAACUUGCAGUCCCUGUCCGCUCUGCCGUGAAACAGUCUCCUGAGGCCUGGGACUUCCUUUGUUCCCAGGGGAACCCCCUCUGGCCCGAGGAGGAGCAGCUGGCGCGCUGUAGACGCUCCAGAAAAGCUUGAAUGCUCCCGGCUCAGCCAGAUGCCUUCAAUACUGGGGCAGGUAAAUGGCAGCAGCAGGCUUUACCCCAGGUCUAGCUGGCUGCACAAGUAAUUGCUCACUUAAAUUCCACAUGCUGCCAUCAAGUGGGAGCUGCCUGGAGGCCGGGAAGGACCUAAGAGGUCCCGGGAGGGAGGCUCUUGCAGUUUCAUUCAGAAGCUCCAUCUUCAUUCUUCUCUGCAGGAUUUAAGAUCUGAAUUCCUCAGCUUCCAGCCUCCCCCGGGGCUGUUUUCUGAGCAUUCCUACCCUGGGUGGCCACUGCCCCUGGUCAGUCUCAUGUCCCUUUCUGUCACCUUCCCAUAUCUCUUCCCAGAGAUGAAGAGGCACCUUGGAAUGGCCCUUACAGGCUGCAGCCCAAGUCCCCGCAAAUUCUGGUGAACUGUCUGGCCUUGCGCCAGGUUUGACUGCUGGGUUGGGUUUUAACCCAGGAGGUUAUCUUGCCUUGCUUUGGUGGGGCCUGGAUCUCAGAUUUCAGGGACACACCUCUAAAGCUUGCUGUGUGCCCCAAGGCGCCAAGCAGGAUGAAGUGGCUGGUGUCCACAGGCCCCCUCUGUGGCCAGGGCCUGGUGGCCCUCCGCCCACUCACUCCACACUUGUGUGUGGAGGGCCGGCGGCCCAGCUGUUCUAAAGAAACCACAGCCAGCGCAGGGUGCUGGCUCUCCUGGAAGGUGAGGGUGGAGGCCAUUUGGUCAAGAAGGUGACAUUUGAGCCAAGGCUAAAGGAGAAGGAAAGCAGCUGUGCAGAUGUCUGGGACAACUGAUUCCAAGCUGAGGAGCCCUGAGUGCAAAGGUCCCAAGUGAGGAACUUGCUUGUGGUGUUCCAGAAACAGCAAGAAGGCAGAACCCAGUCAUCAUUCCCAGAAGAAGUCGCGGAUCCAUUAGCAGUGGGUCCUCACUGUCCUCGUCCCCAGCUCCUGGUCUCCACUGUCCACUUCCUGCCUCCGUGGAUCUGCUUCCUGUGGCUUUUCAUACAACAGACCACGAACCCGCAGCCUCUGCGCCUGCUUCUCCCCCUCGCUGAGGCUCGUCCCUGCUGAAGCUGGCCCAGGACCUCAGCCCGACACAGGGGCGAAUCCUGUUCAAUGUCCCCGUGUGUUCAAGCGUUCCACUGAAGGGCACUCGGUUUGUUUCCACCUGGGGCCUGAGCAGGGCUGCUGGGCACCCUGGUGCCAAGGUUUCGUGUGGAGCAGGUUUUCGAGUUGCCUAGGGGCGGACCUCGGAGUGGAACUGCUGGGCCAGGUGUGGUGAGCCCUUUGCCGCGACACCGUGUACACCCACAGCCCUGUGCCACGUCCCUUGCCCCCCCCCCACGGCUUGGCCACUUUCCACUUCAGACUUCAACCUUUUGGCCAAGGGGCCGACACCCCUCCGUGGUUUGGUUUCGUUCCCGAUGGGUGAUGACCAUCCUUCCAGGUGCUGGUGGCCCAUUCACAGAUCUUUUUUUGGAGAAAUAUCUAUUCAAUCCUUUGCCCAUUUAAAAAGUGUUGGUUUUGCCUUGUUUAUUUUUUGUACUGGGCAUUGAAUCCAUAAGUCAGUUUCUCCCUAAGUUCCCCAGAUUACCUGCCUUUGUGUCUUGAGUUGCUGGGGUUCACAGGCAUGCGCCACCAGGCCUGGCUUAUUUAUCUUUCUGUUGUCGAAUUGUAAGAGUUCUUUAUAUAUUGUGGUCAUUAACUUUUCAUUAGAUAGAUGUUUUGAAUAUAUUUCCUACUCUCCUGUUGGUUGUCAUUGUACUAUCUUAAUAGACAAGCACAUAUUUUACUUUGGUGAAGUCCA